GACUUGACAUCUCGAGAAGUUCGCCUAAUAGCGAAUGUGCCUUCGGGAACUCGAAGACAGGUGGUGCAUGGCUGUCGUCAGCUCGUGUCGUGAGAUGUUGGGUUAAGUCCCGCAACGAGCGCAACCCUCGUUCUUAGUUGCCAGCAUUAAGUUGGGCACUUUAGGAAGACUGCCGGUGACAAACCGGAGGAAGGUGGGGAUGACGUCAAGUCAGCAUGCCCCUUACGUUCUGGGCUACACACGUACUACAAUGGUUGGGACAAAGGGCAGCAAGCUCGCAAGAGUAAGCGAAUCUCAUCAAACCCAGCCUCAGUUCAGAUUGCAGGCUGCAACUCGCCUGCAUGAAGGAGGAAUCGCUAGUAAUCGCAGGUCAGCAUACUGCGGUGAAUUCGUUCCCGG
This 399-nucleotide ribosomal RNA is filed under the name uncultured Pleurocapsales cyanobacterium. Its description in RNAcentral is "bacterial SSU rRNA". It matches the Rfam family "Bacterial small subunit ribosomal RNA", at positions 978 to 1377 of the family's 1533-position model. Lineage: Bacteria; Bacillati; Cyanobacteriota; Cyanophyceae; Pleurocapsales. The record is from RNAcentral.